GUGGCUCAGUUUUUGCUGAUGGUGCGGAAGGCUUCGUGCGGUAACCCAGAGAACAGAACCCACGAAGAGAGAGAACACGCGAUGCUGAGAAGAGUAGGAGCAUGGAGGCUCCUGGACAGCGGACAAAAGUCGCUUCAGGGGUUCAGGGGGAUCUUCUUAGAGAGAGAGCUUUUGUGAGGGAGAGCUUCCUGUGAGGGAGAAAUUGGAGGUACGAGAGUUGAGGGUG
This 226-nucleotide long non-coding RNA is filed under the name Elaeis guineensis (African oil palm). RNAcentral's name for it is "long non-coding RNA (EGUI_LNC025597)". The record is from RNAcentral. Lineage: Eukaryota; Viridiplantae; Streptophyta; Magnoliopsida; Arecales; Arecaceae.